CUGGGAGCUGCUCCAGCAAAUUAUCAAAUAUGCAGGGGCAGGUUUGUGAGAAGGUCCAAUCUGUGGGUAACCUGGGAUCCAAUACUCAUGACUGGCAUCUGAGGCACAAGGAACUAUGUCAUGCACCAGGUUUCUUCCUUGCCACAACUUCUGGAGAGGCUGUACCAUGUGGAGGUUACCUGCUCUGAUGCUGGAGUGAAAUGAAAGAGAAAAAAGAAUCUUCCUAUCCCACAUCACAGAUGUCUCUGUAGCUACAGACUCCACUAUCAGAAUAACAAACGGAUUCUCAAGAUUAUACUGC
Molecule: long non-coding RNA, 301 nt
Organism: Sciurus carolinensis (gray squirrel)
Lineage: Eukaryota; Metazoa; Chordata; Mammalia; Rodentia; Sciuridae
Exons: 3
Source: RefSeq, a predicted model, not a curated record